GCAGUCACCACACUGUUGUCAGAACUGAACACAGACAGCUCAUCAUGGAGCUUCGGCUGAGCCUGGUUCUCCUGCUGGUCAUUUUGAAAGGUGUCCAGGCUGAAGUGCAGCUGGUGGAGUCCGGAGGAGCCUUGGUGCAGCCUGGGGGGUCCCUGAGACUCUCCUGUAUGGCCUCUGGAUUCAAUUUUGGGAGUUACGGCAUGCACUGGAUUCGCCAGGCUCCAGGGAAGGGGCUGGAGUGGAUCUCACUCAUCUAUAAUGAUGGUAGUGAUAAGUACUACGCAGACUCCGUGAAGGGCCGAUUCACCAUCUCCAGAGACAACGGAAAGAACAUGCUGUAUCUGCAAAUGAGCAGCCUGAGGCCGGAGGAUACGGCUCUGUAUUACUGUGCAAAAGACACAGUGAGUGACUAUCAGUGA
Non-coding RNA from Octodon degus (degu), 419 nucleotides. Lineage: Eukaryota; Metazoa; Chordata; Mammalia; Rodentia; Octodontidae. The record is from the annotation of a RefSeq genome assembly.